CUUACACAUGCAAGUCGAGCGAUGAAACUUUAACAGAACCCUUCGGGGCGAAGAUAAAGUGGAUUAGCGGCGGACGGGUGAGUAACACGUGAGUAACCUGCCUUAGACAUUGGGAUAGCCUCGGGAAACCGGGAUUAAUACCAAAUAAAAUCAUAAUGACACAUGUCAUAACGAUCAAAACUCCGGUGGUCUAAGAUGGACUCGCGUCCCAUUAGCUAGUUGGUAGAGUAAAAGCCUACCAAGGCGACGAUGGGUAGCCGGCCUGAGAGGGUGAACGGCCACAUUGGAACUGAGAAACGGUCCAAACUCCUACGGGAGGCAGCAGAAGGG
Molecule: ribosomal RNA, 330 nt
Filed under: uncultured Peptoniphilus sp.
Lineage: Bacteria; Bacillati; Bacillota; Tissierellia; Tissierellales; Peptoniphilaceae
Description: bacterial SSU rRNA
Rfam family: Bacterial small subunit ribosomal RNA
Source: RNAcentral